This 2898-nucleotide ribosomal RNA is filed under the name Drosophila pseudoobscura pseudoobscura. RNAcentral's name for it is "eukaryotic LSU rRNA". It matches the Rfam family "Eukaryotic large subunit ribosomal RNA", at positions 672 to 3185 of the family's 3401-position model. The record is from RNAcentral. Lineage: Eukaryota; Metazoa; Arthropoda; Insecta; Diptera; Drosophilidae.
AGUCUAACAUAUGUGCAAGUUAUUGGGAGAUAAACCUAAUAGCGUAAUUAACUUGACUAAUAAUGGGAUUAGUUUUUUAACUAUUUAUAGAUAAUUAACACAAUCCCGGGCGUUCUAUAUAGUUAUGUAUGAUAAUAUUUAUAUUAUUUAUGCCUCUAACUGGAACGUACCUUGAGCAUAUAUGCUGUGACCCGAAAGAUGGUGAACUAUACUUGAUCAGGUUGAAGUCAGGGGAAACCCUGAUGGAAGACCGAAACAGUUCUGACGUGCAAAUCGAUUGUCAGAAUUGAGUAUAGGGGCGAAAGACCAAUCGAACCAUCUAGUAGCUGGUUCCUUCCGAAGUUUCCCUCAGGAUAGCUGGUGCAUUUUAAUGUUAUAUAAAAUAAUCUUAUCUGGUAAAGCGAAUGAUUAGAGGCCUUAGGGUCGAAACGAUCUUAACCUAUUCUCAAACUUUAAAUGGGUAAGAACCUUAACUUUCUUGAUAUGAAGUUUAAGGUUAUGAUAUAAUGUGCCCAGUGGGCCACUUUUGGUAAGCAGAACUGGCGCUGUGGGAUGAACCAAACGUAAUGUUACGGUGCCCAAAUUAACAACUCAUGCAGAAACCAUGAAAGGCGUUGGUUGCUUAAAACAGCAGGACGGUGAUCAUGGAAGUCGAAAUCCGCUAAGGAGUGUGUAACAACUCACCUGCCGAAGCAACUAGCCCUUAAAAUGGAUGGCGCUUAAGUUGUAUACCUAUACAUUACCGCUAAAGUAGAUGAUUUAUAUUACUUGUGAUAUAAAUUUUGAAACUUUAGUGAGUAGGAAGGUACAAUGGUAUGCGUAGAAGUGUUUGGCGUAAGCCUUCAUGGAGCUGCCAUUGGCACAGAUCUUGGUGGUAGUAGCAAAUAAUCGAAUGAGACCUUGGAGGACUGAAGUGGAGAAGGGUUUCGUGUGAACAGUGGUUGAUCACGAGUUAGUCGGUCCUAAGUUCAAGGCGAAAGCCGAAAAUUUUCAAGUAAAAAAUCAGUGAGUAAUAUUGUCAAAUCUUUUAUGAUUUUUAAAUACUUGAAUAAUUUUGAACGAAAGGGAAUACGGUUCCAAUUCCGUAACCUGUUGAGUAUCCGUUUGUUAUUAAAUAUGGGCCUCGUGCUCAUCCUGGCAACAGGAACGACCAUAAAGAAGCCGUCGAGAGAUAUCGGAAGAGUUUUCUUUUCUGUUUUAUAGCCGUACUACCAUGGAAGUCUUUCGCAGAGAGAUAUGGUAGAUGGGCUAGAAGAGCAUGACAUAUACUGUUGUGUCGAUAUUUUCUCCUCGGACCUUGAAAAUUUAUGGUGGGGACACGCAAACUUCUCAACAGGCCGUACCAAUAUCCGCAGCUGGUCUCCAAGGUGAAGAGUCUCUAGUCGAUAGAAUAAUGUAGGUAAGGGAAGUCGGCAAAUUAGAUCCGUAACUUCGGGAUAAGGAUUGGCUCUGAAGAUUGAGAUAGUCGGGCUUGAUUGGGAAACAAUAACAUGGUUUAUGUGCUCGUUCUGGGUAAAUAGAGUUUCUAUCAUUUAUGGUAGUUACUUGUUCCCCGGAUAGUUUAGUUACGUAGCCAAUUGUGGAACUUUCUUGCUAAAAUUUUUAAGAAUACUAAUUGGGUUAAACCAGUUAGUUCUUAUUAAUUAUAACGAUUAUCAAUUAACAAUCAAUUCAGAACUGGCACGGACUUGGGGAAUCCGACUGUCUAAUUAAAACAAAGCAUUGUGAUGGCCCUAGCGGGUGUUGACACAAUGUGAUUUCUGCCCAGUGCUCUGAAUGUCAAAGUGAAGAAAUUCAAGUAAGCGCGGGUCAACGGCGGGAGUAACUAUGACUCUCUUAAGGUAGCCAAAUGCCUCGUCAUCUAAUUAGUGACGCGCAUGAAUGGAUUAACGAGAUUCCUACUGUCCCUAUCUACUAUCUAGCGAAACCACAGCCAAGGGAACGGGCUUGGAAUAAUUAGCGGGGAAAGAAGACCCUUUUGAGCUUGACUCUAAUCUGGCAGUGUAAGGAGACAUAAGAGGUGUAGCAUAAGUGGGAGAUAUUAGAUUUCGGUUUGGUAUCGACAAUGAAAUACCACUACUCUUAUUGUUUCCUUACUUACUUGAUUAAAUGGAACGUGUAUCAUUUCCUAGCCAUUAUACGGAUAUAUUUAUUAUAUCUUAUGGUAUUGGGUUUUGAUGCAAGCUUCUUGAUCAAAGUAUCACGAGUUUGUUAUAUAAUCGCAAACAAAUUCUUUAAUGAGAAAAUGCAUUUAUGUAUUUUCAAUUUGAAAAUUUGGUAUAACUCCAAUUACUCAGGUAUGAUCCAAUUCAAGGACAUUGCCAGGUAGGGAGUUUGACUGGGGCGGUACAUCUCUCAAAUAAUAACGGAGGUGUCCCAAGGCCAGCUCAGUGCGGACAGAAACCACACAUAGAGCAAAAGGGCAAAUGCUGACUUGAUCUCGGUGUUCAGUACACACAGGGACAGCAAAAGCUCGGCCUAUCGAUCCUUUUGGUUUAAAGAGUUUUUAACAAGAGGUGUCAGAAAAGUUACCAUAGGGAUAACUGGCUUGUGGCGGCCAAGCGUUCAUAGCGACGUCGCUUUUUGAUCCUUCGAUGUCGGCUCUUCCUAUCAUUGUGAAGCAAAAUUCACCAAGCGUUGGAUUGUUCACCCAUGCAAGGGAACGUGAGCUGGGUUUAGACCGUCGUGAGACAGGUUAGUUUUACCCUACUAAUGACAAAACGUUGUUGCGACAGCAUUCCUGCGUAGUACGAGAGGAACCGCAGGUACGGACCAAUGGCACAAUACUUGUUCGAGCGAACAGUGGUAUGACGCUACGUCCGUUGGAUUAUGCCUGAACGCCUCUAAGGUCGUAUCCGUGCUGGACUGCAAUGAUAAAUAAGGGGCAAUUUGCAUUGU